CGUUUUCAUUCGGAGGAAAUGGAAAGUGUGCAAGAGGAGGAAAGCCAACUGCGUAAAUAAUGGCAACAAGUGGCUGCCGGGCUUCCAUAUCAAGUUUGUCAAGAAUUUGCCAAGCUUUCAAAAAUCGACGUAACGUAACCGGCUAACCUCCCAUCUUGAUCGUAAAAUGAUUAGAGAUGACACUGAUAGGACCAGUGGAUAAUAUACAUAUGUGGGAUUUACGCAGAGAGGUGUUAGGGCAGACAACAAUAAAAAUAAACGAAGGUGCCGAGAGUGAGAAAGGGAGAAGAAACGGCAGCUGCAAAAACAACAAAAAGCUCAGACAAGAAAAGAAGAAGAAGACGGAAAGAAGACGCCGGUACAGUUGCGCUCACACACACACGCACACACAAGAAAUUCGCAAAGAGCGUAAAAAAUAUAAAAAAAAAUGCAGCGUGGCGCUUUUAUAACGGAACACAAAACAAAAAAAAAGCAAAAGCAAAACACAUGCUGCACUCAAAACAAACCGACGGGAGAGGAGAACGAAGAAGACUUACGGAGAGCGCAAUUGAUGCUUGCGAAAGAGGGGAGGACAGACUAGAGCCGCUUAGGGUGGUCAUCAUGUAAGAGGGAGUCUCUGGAACCACCCGAUGUCCUGCGGUGAGGCUCCUUUAGAUUCUGAAAUCUUCUCUGCAUCUCUGGCUGUUAAUUACGGUCACACUUCGCUGA
This is a long non-coding RNA of Drosophila subpulchrella, 708 nucleotides long. RefSeq lists it as uncharacterized. NCBI's taxonomy places the organism in Eukaryota, Metazoa, Arthropoda, Insecta, Diptera, Drosophilidae. The transcript is spliced from 3 exons. The record is from RefSeq and is a predicted model, not a curated record.